RNAcentral lists this ribosomal RNA (221 nucleotides) under uncultured bacterium. Its description in RNAcentral is "partial 16S ribosomal RNA". The record is from RNAcentral.
ACGGGCGGAGUGUACAAGGCCCGGGAACGUAUUCACCGUGGCAUUCUGAUCCACGAUUACUAGCGAUUCCGACUUCAUGGAGUCGAGUUGCAGACUCCAAUCCGGACUACGACGCACUUUAUGAGGUCCGCUUACUCUCCGCGAGGGUCGCUUCUCCUUUUGUAUGGCGCCAAUUUGUUAGCAACGUUGUUGUANCCUGGGUCCGUAAAGGGGCAAUGAAU